GCAGUGGUGGUUCAGUGGCAGAAUUCUUGCCCUCCAUAUGGGAGACCUGGGUUCUAUUCCUAGCCAGUGUG
Molecule: transfer RNA, 71 nt
Filed under: Loxodonta africana (African savanna elephant)
Lineage: Eukaryota; Metazoa; Chordata; Mammalia; Proboscidea; Elephantidae
Rfam family: tRNA
About the family: Transfer RNA (tRNA) molecules are approximately 80 nucleotides in length. Their secondary structure includes four short double-helical elements and three loops (D, anti-codon, and T loops).
Source: Rfam by way of RNAcentral